CCGCACUGGUUCGAAUGGGAGACUCAUCAAAUAAUUAAUGAAACUGAGACCAGUUUUGCCAGCCAAUGGCGUGCCAUCCUCUGAUGGUGACAUUCGAGUAGGUGGAUUACAAAGGCGGCAAACCCUCAAAACCUGUCUAACGGAGUUUCAUCACAUCUUCACCAGUGCGGUUUUC
RNAcentral lists this small RNA (175 nucleotides) under bovine gut metagenome. Its description in RNAcentral is "Bacteroidales-1 6S-Bacteroidales RNA suggested". It matches the Rfam family "Bacteroidales-1 6S-Bacteroidales RNA suggested". RNAcentral also lists the same sequence under 1 other name. The record is from RNAcentral.